Molecule: unclassified non-coding RNA, 378 nt
Filed under: uncultured Actinomycetes bacterium
Lineage: Bacteria; Bacillati; Actinomycetota; Actinomycetes
Description: uncultured actinobacterium contains 16S-23S intergenic spacer region
Source: RNAcentral
UCCGGUUUGGCACCGGCAGUCCUCCCAGAGUCCUCGGCAUAACCCGGUAGCAACUGGGAGCGGGGGUUGCGCUCGUUGCGGGACUUAACCCAACAUCUCACGACGCGGGCUGACGACAGCCAUGCACCACCUGUCACCCGACCACAAGGGGGGCACCAUCUCUGAUGCUUUCCGGGCGAUGUCAAGCCUUGGUAAGGUUCUUCGCGUCGCAUCGAAUUAAGCCGCAUGCUCCGCCGCUUGUGCGGGGCCCCGUCAAUUCCUUUGAGUUUUAGCCUUGCGGCCGUACUCCCCAGGCGGGGUGCUUAAUGCGUUAGCUUCGGCACGGACGGGGUCGAUAUCCGCCCACACCUAGCACCCAACGUUUACGGCUAGGACUAC